This 839-nucleotide ribosomal RNA is filed under the name Streptomyces sp. Its description in RNAcentral is "bacterial SSU rRNA". It matches the Rfam family "Bacterial small subunit ribosomal RNA", at positions 18 to 873 of the family's 1533-position model. Lineage: Bacteria; Bacillati; Actinomycetota; Actinomycetes; Kitasatosporales; Streptomycetaceae. The record is from RNAcentral.
CCUGGCUCAGGACGAACGCUGGCGGCGUGCUUAACACAUGCAAGUCGAACGAUGAAGCCUUUCGGGGUGGAUUAGUGGCGAACGGGUGAGUAACACGUGGGCAAUCUGCCCUUCACUCUGGGACAAGCCCUGGAAACGGGGUCUAAUACCGGAUAAUACUUCUGCCUGCAUGGGUGGGGGUUGAAAGCUCCGGCGGUGAAGGAUGAGCCCGCGGCCUAUCAGCUUGUUGGUGGGGUAAUGGCCUACCAAGGCGACGACGGGUAGCCGGCCUGAGAGGGCGACCGGCCACACUGGGACUGAGACACGGCCCAGACUCCUACGGGAGGCAGCAGUGGGGAAUAUUGCACAAUGGGCGAAAGCCUGAUGCAGCGACGCCGCGUGAGGGAUGACGGCCUUCGGGUUGUAAACCUCUUUCAGCAGGGAAGAAGCGCAAGUGACGGUACCUGCAGAAGAAGCGCCGGCUAACUACGUGCCAGCAGCCGCGGUAAUACGUAGGGCGCAAGCGUUGUCCGGAAUUAUUGGGCGUAAAGAGCUYGUAGGCGGCUUGUCACGUCGGAUGUGAAAGCCCGGGGCUUAACCCCGGGUCUGCAUUCGAUACGGGCUAGCUAGAGUGUGGUAGGGGAGAUCGGAAUUCCUGGUGUAGCGGUGAAAUGCGCAGAUAUCAGGAGGAACACCGGUGGCGAAGGCGGAUCUCUGGGCCAUUACUGACGCUGAGGAGCGAAAGCGUGGGGAGCGAACAGGAUUAGAUACCCUGGUAGUCCACGCCGUAAACGUUGGGAACUAGGUGUUGGCGACAUUCCACGUCGUCGGUGCCGCAGCUAACGCAUUAAGUCCCCGCC